Molecule: non-coding RNA, 715 nt
Filed under: Pan troglodytes (chimpanzee)
Lineage: Eukaryota; Metazoa; Chordata; Mammalia; Primates; Hominidae
Source: RNAcentral
AGGCAUCCCGGGGGACAAACGCUGGGUCGUCCUGAGUCGCUCCCACUCGCCAGGUCCCAUAACCUUGAAGACUGCCAGACUUCCCCAGCCGAAGCAUCGCACCCUGGUGCUCGAGGCGGCAGGUUCCUUGAGAUCCAGGGCCAUGUGUUAUCCGUUUUGAUGUCCCCAGUGUCAGACUUAAUGCCUGGGAACACAAUAGGAAAUUCAAUCAAUGUGGAGCUGCUGAACUAUUGAACCACGAGGUAGAGCUUUUGAGGGUGACCGAUCGUUAUUGCCUUUAGAAAAGCAAGAUUGGUGGGUUACACCCACACAGAGCCAAGUUAGACUAUUUUCUGGAAUUUGUUUAACCCGGGAUAGACUGGGAGCUCCAUGAGGUCUGAGACAACCUGAAGAUGCCCAGCUCAGCAGAGACUGGCUACGGCAAUCACUCAGUAACUGUUUGUUGAAUUGGACAUAAUAGAAGAGUUGAAGAAUUUUAAACAAGUCACCAUCAGUCCAGUGGAUUCCUCAAAGCAAACCUGGAAAUCUCGGCAUGAGUUGGAUUUAAGGCAGUACAUUUUCAGCUCCUGAAAAUUUGAACAGUUUCUCAAGAGAACAACUUGAAACAGAAAGGCAAGGAUGUAGAUGUGGUUGUAGAAGAUGAUGUCUGCGGCCACCAAACUGUCCACUGUGAAGAUAAACCAUGCAUGUUUAGUAGGCAGUGGCUCCUCUUCCC